GGAGAGGAGAUGCCAACGACUGUAUGUACAUUAUAUUCUAACUGUUCCCAUGUGAGAGCCAGACAUGAGGACACUAGUCUGUGUGACGGGAGAGUUCUGGGCAUUUUGGGAAGAGAAAUGUCGCUUCCCCUCCUGGAGACCCCGCGCCCCUUGGGGUGAGUAGCUGAGGCUUUCCCUCCGCAGGCCCCUUCUUCUCCUGUGCGAAGCCCUGGCAGGUGGCUGUGGGGGUGACUCUCCUGGCUCUGUUUGGAACCCUGGUCGGGGCGGUAUUCUUCUGGCGACAAUACAAGAAAAUCUGGGCCUUGAGCCAUGAGAAGGAGAGCGAGCGAGCUGAGAAAGAAGCAGCACAGGGGAAGGAGCAACAAGAGCGAAGCGCCAAAGAGACGCUGGAGUUGUUGCUCAGGUGGACAAAGCAGCAGAUCAUAGCGGGUGACAGGUCUCAGGCCUAUGCUGAGUGGAAGAUGGCCCUUUACCAACCUGGUGAGUGAGUCACUGUGUGUUCCCUGGGACAACG
Long non-coding RNA from Myotis brandtii (Brandt's bat), 514 nucleotides. RefSeq lists it as uncharacterized. The transcript has 5 exons. Lineage: Eukaryota; Metazoa; Chordata; Mammalia; Chiroptera; Vespertilionidae. The record is from RefSeq and is a predicted model, not a curated record.